AUCACGACCAGUAGCAUUUUGAUUUUUUCUGUUUGGUUAUUUAUAUAAGGUUGAAAAUAUGUACAUUGCAUAUUAUUAUUUGUUUUGACUUUUUCUUCGCUUAAUGAAGUGAAUAAUAAUGUAUUCAAAAUAUUAAUGUGUAAAAGGCUAUGUUAGAUGCAAAUAUAUCGGUGAUAUAAUGAUGAUAGGCAGUUGGGUUGUUCCCUAUUAAUAAUACUGAUAGUUUUGAUUAAUUAAUGUAAGUAUAAAAUAAGACAUAUUAAUUUUCUAGUGAAUAGAUCUAACAACCUUGUUUAAGUAGAUUUUUUAGGUCUCCUUCCUUUUUAAUAGUAUAGAUUAAUUAUUAGAAAAAUCAAAAUAAUACAAAAUCCAACUUAUGGAAAAUAAAAAAUAAAAUAAAAUUGUCGUUAUAAAAAAAAUGUUAAACAACCCUUUGUAGAUCUGUGUUGGAUAAAAUGUCGAUGUCGAGGUAUAUCGCCACAAACUUCUACGAUUAAAAAAAAAGAAAAGAAAUCCGAUGGUGGGGUAUCCGUCUGUCUGAUUAAAAUCCGAUGGCCACACCAUUAACUACUGAAAAAGCCAUCUCAUAUAUCUGAGAAUCGAAAGCUGUACCAGGUUCUAAAAGGCACCAUACACCACCGUCAAGCUAUCACCAUUUUUAUACGGAUCUACAUUGGAGUUAAAAACCACUAGAUAACUGGUGAAUUCUCCAUACCGAUUAGAGAAAGAUGUCCUUCAAACCACUUCAAAAUCUAUGACGGGUCUUUCCACCGUUCUCUAGCAGAGACGAAUGUGAUAAUCCAAAUACUCCUUCAACGAGAGAUCUAAGAUCAUGCACUAUCUCUUCCACCAAAUAUUGCAUCAUCACUCCUAAAGAACAUAAGUAAACUUUUCCUUUUGCUGAAAUAUUGUUAUUAUUAAUUAAAUUUGACAAAAAAAGAAACAUUGGAAAGGAAAUUCUUGCCUGAUACCAACAUGCGUUAGAAUUUUUGAGAGAAAAAAUUGUACGCAUGUGAAACCAACGUGCGUCGAUCUUAUUUAAUAUGUUGAUUAACGAUAAGUAUUUUCGUGUAGU
This 1075-nucleotide long non-coding RNA is filed under the name Brassica rapa (field mustard). Its description in RNAcentral is "long non-coding RNA (BRAP_LNC007015)". The record is from RNAcentral. Lineage: Eukaryota; Viridiplantae; Streptophyta; Magnoliopsida; Brassicales; Brassicaceae.